UACGAAGGGUGCUAGCGUUGUUCGGAAUCACUGGGCGUAAAGCGCGCGUAGGCUGUUUUUCAAGUCAGGGGUGAAAUCCUGAGGCUCAACCUCAGAAUUGCCUCUGAAACUGUAAAACUCGAGUGUCGGAGGGGAUAGCGGAAUUGCUAAUGUAGAGGUGAAAUUCGUAGAUAUUAGCAGGAACACCGGUGGCGAAGGCGGCUAUCUGGACGACAACUGACGCUGAGGCGCGAAAGCGUGGGGAUCAAACAGG
Molecule: ribosomal RNA, 253 nt
Filed under: uncultured bacterium
Lineage: Bacteria
Description: partial 16S ribosomal RNA
Rfam family: Bacterial small subunit ribosomal RNA
Source: RNAcentral